UGUAGAUGUUUGUGCCAUUAGUUG
RNAcentral lists this unclassified non-coding RNA (24 nucleotides) under Mus musculus (house mouse). Its description in RNAcentral is "oocyte_clustered_small_RNA1787". Lineage: Eukaryota; Metazoa; Chordata; Mammalia; Rodentia; Muridae. The record is from RNAcentral.